GAUAGUGGGGAAUGUUUUCCUUCUAAUCUAUCUAUUCUUAUGCUCCUCCUUCUCACAAUUGCUCAUAAAUGUAGGAGGACGUGGAUAGGUGAUGCUGAGGGUGUGUUGAGUAAGACAAGUAUAUUAGAGACAACUGGUGGGCAAAUUGACAUGUGGGGAAAAAUUAAUGUUAAACAGAAAUUGUCAGAAUGACAGUGAAGAAUGACAAUCCACACAGUAAGAGAGAGUGAGAUGAGAAAGAAAAUAAGCUGGUGCUGAUUGCUCCUGCUUUGCUUGCAGGCCCCGGCAGUGCAGCCAAAGGAUCACAGUGAGCACGAUGACAAAACCUCCCACCAGGAGAACUGGGACAACAAUCACUUCUGUUUGAUAUUCACGCACAACUGUCAGCAGAGAAAGAAAAUGGAAAACCAAGGAGUAAGCAGCACACUGGUUCUGUAUAAGCAUGUAGCAACAAUCCAUUUCGGUAACUUUCAACCCCAAAAGUGUGUAUUCCAUCCUCUGGAAUAGUUGAACACUGUUAGUGCUGCCACCUUAUUUUUCAAUGGUGCUGAGUACCUAAACUGCAUGAAAUUACUAAGACCCCCACACCUAAGGUCACUUAUUUAGAUGCUUUAAUAUGGAGGCCAGGAAUUGAAGCCAUUUGAAGUCUCAUCCACCAGUGAAACAGAAACAGCACUGGCAGCAGGACAGCAGGGAGAUGGGACAGGCUGGAUAUUGCUGUCAUCACGUGCAAUUACAGCUCCAGCUCCUUCCAGUAAAAUUACACAUAGCAUUUUAAAGGAAACUAGGUGUGGUCACCUUUGGAGUUUGCCUGGAAGACAUUGCAAUUAGCAAGGCUUGUGAAGGUAACUAUCUUUCUCAUGUCCCCAGAUUUGGAGGUGGACAAGACCAUUUUUACAGUUCCCAAAGAUGGCAGAAAGUCAUGAAAUCAAAAUCUCACAAAACUGGUCCUUUGGGAAGCUGCAGGGAAUCUUUAAUGACUGCUGUACACCUCAUUCGAAGUAUGAAUUCUCUAAAAUGGCUGAAAUUAUGUGAGAUUAAUCCAGCCACAGAGGCUUCAUCCCCAUAAACAUUUCUUCCCUGAAACACAAUGCAGGGAAAGCUCCAUCAAAUCUUUCUGUGUGGGCUGGGAUGCAGUGGAGGAGGAGAAAGGGCUUAGCACUCUUUUUAGUGAAGCUGGCCUUCCUGCAAGCAUGUGAAACCUUAUUAAAGGAA
This is a long non-coding RNA of Vidua macroura (Pin-tailed whydah), 1215 nucleotides long. RefSeq lists it as uncharacterized. The transcript has 3 exons. The record is from RefSeq and is a predicted model, not a curated record. NCBI's taxonomy places the organism in Eukaryota, Metazoa, Chordata, Aves, Passeriformes, Viduidae.